RNAcentral lists this non-coding RNA (28 nucleotides) under Mus musculus (house mouse). The record is from RNAcentral. Lineage: Eukaryota; Metazoa; Chordata; Mammalia; Rodentia; Muridae.
UGUCACGCUAGUGGCCUCUACUCCAAUC